CCCAGCUCGUCAUGCUAGAGCACUUUUUCAAUGUGCUCCCCAACGAGAAGGCGACAACGCAUUCGUAUGUUAAUCCAUAUCAACUUUCGAUGCCAUUGACUGUGUCUACCAUGGUGACCACAGGUAACGGAGAAUCAGGGUUCGAUUCCGUACAAGGACCCUGACAAACGGCUACCACAUACAAGGAAGGCAGCAGGCGCGCAAACGACCCACUCCUGACGCGGGAAGGUUGUGACG
This is a non-coding RNA of Pelobates cultripes (western spadefoot toad), 237 nucleotides long. The record is from the annotation of a GenBank genome assembly. Lineage: Eukaryota; Metazoa; Chordata; Amphibia; Anura; Pelobatidae.